CAGCAGCCACGGUAAUACGUAGGUCCCGAGCGUUGUCCGGAUUUAUUGGGCGUAAAGCGAGCGCAGGCGGUUAGAUAAGUCUGAAGUUAAAGGCUGUGGCUUAACCAUAGUACGCUUUGGAAACUGUUUAACUUGAGUGCAAGAGGGGAGAGUGGAAUUCCAUGUGUAGCGGUGAAAUGCGUAGAUAUAUGGAGGAACACCGGUGGCGAAAGCGGCUCUCUGGCUUGUAACUGACGCUGAGGCUCGAAAGCGUAGGGAGCAAACAGGAUUAGAUACCCGCGUAGUCCCUGUCUCUUAUACA
Molecule: ribosomal RNA, 301 nt
Filed under: uncultured bacterium
Lineage: Bacteria
Description: partial 16S ribosomal RNA
Rfam family: Bacterial small subunit ribosomal RNA
Source: RNAcentral